RNAcentral lists this ribosomal RNA (504 nucleotides) under uncultured bacterium. Its description in RNAcentral is "partial 16S ribosomal RNA". It matches the Rfam family "Bacterial small subunit ribosomal RNA", at positions 28 to 507 of the family's 1533-position model. The record is from RNAcentral.
GACGAACGCUGGCGGCGUGCUUAACACAUGCAAGUCGAACGGUUAAGCGCUUGCCUCUUUGGUGGGCGUGGAUGAGUGGCGAACGGGUGAGUAACACGUUAGUAACCUGCCCUCUUCUUCUGGAUAACCUCAUGAAAGUUGGGCUAAUACGGCGUAUUCCGUGUCUGUCGCAUGGCGGGUUUUUGCAAGAUUGCGCCUUUGUGUGUUUUCGGUUCGUGUUGGGCUCGCGGCCUUUCAGCUUGUUGGUGGGGUGAUGGCCUACCAAGGCGGUGACGGGUAGCCGGAGUGAGAGGGUGGACAGCCACAAAGGGACUGAGACACGGACCAGACUCGUGCGGGAGGAAGCAGUGGGGAAUAUUGCACGAUGGGCGCAAGGCUGAUGCAGCGACGCCGCGUGAGGGAUGGAGGCCGUCGGGUUGUGAACCUCUUUCGCGAGUGAAGCAGGCAUGCUCCUGUGUGGGUGGGUUGACGGUAGCUGGAUAAGAAGCGCCGGCUAACUACGUG